UUGGAGACUACUGUAAUGGCUUGGCAUGCAUGAAUAAGGGAAGGAUGAGGUUUCAGAUGGAAAUCUGUUGUUUCCAUUCCUGAUCUCAUGCUUAGUCAGGAAACUAACAUACCCAUGAGGGGUAAACUGUUGACUAUUUCAGGGUACUGCUAAAAGUGACUUAUUACUACAGGGGCUCAGUGGUAUUCUUGUGACCUGGAAAAAUUAAUAUUAUUGGGCUAUUAUUUUGGCAAGUAGUUUUUUUUAUAUUCGGGAUCAGAGUACCGAUAUCAGAUCUGGAGAGUUCAAGAUCAGGUUACAGGAAGAAAAAACAUUCUUAGUGGUAAUAGCUUUGGACUGGGUGGGUGUUAGGAAUGUUGGCUUCCAUUCAUGGUACCGUACAUAAAUGAUUCAAUCUGCAUUUUAAUUUAACAUACUAAUGUCUUUACAGUCAUUAGUUUGGCAUUCUUAGUUGAACCAAUGACUUCUUUAUGAAUGGAUGGACAGAUUGCCCAGCAUGAGUCAUUACUUUCUUUCCUGAAGACCAAAAUAUUUUCUUGGACCUAUCUCCAACUACAUUUGACCAGACUGGUUUCAAACAGAUUACAGGUUCUCCAUUGGAUAGGAAAGUCCUUUGAAUCCAUAUUGUCCAAAGCUAUUGGAAAAAUAUCUCCACAAGCGACAGCUUGGAAGUACAGUAGAUCUGGGAUCAAGAAGACUUGGAAUUCAAAAACCAGCUUUAGUCAUGAACUAGAUUUGUGACCCUGGGCAAAUCACUUCACCUCUGACUGCCUCACGUUAUUCAAUUAUAAAAUAGGAAUAAUAAUAGCAUCUAUCUUCCAGGGUUGUUGUAAGACUCAAACAAGGUAAUUUUUGUAAAACAUUAGGCACAGUGGCUGGCCCAUCUAUCUCCUGGGUUUCUGCCUAACCAGUCAAUUUUAGUCUCUCCAACCUUUCAGGUAGUUCCUGUGAGGACACUCUAACCAUCUCACUAGAUGUGGAAAUAGUCCCAUGGCUAUCAGUCAAGACUAGAAGGAACUCAUUGAAAAGAAAUGGAAAUGAUAGUUUCAAGGUACUCUGAUCAGACAGACCAUAACUUGAAUACUGUGUUCACUUCUGAAUGAUAGAGUUUAGUCACCAAACUUGCUUAUCACUGCUACACAACCCAAGAAAAUGCUGAAAAUAUGGGAAUAUGAAGCUUUUUGGUGAAAUAAUAAUACAACUGUUUGGACAGUGUCAGCAAAUGUGAUUUAUGUAAUAAAUAUGUAAUUUAUGUAAUAAUUUUGUAAAUA
Molecule: long non-coding RNA, 1271 nt
Filed under: Monodelphis domestica (gray short-tailed opossum)
Lineage: Eukaryota; Metazoa; Chordata; Mammalia; Didelphimorphia; Didelphidae
Description: lncRNA (ENSMODG00000050870.1)
Source: RNAcentral